Molecule: long non-coding RNA, 1575 nt
Organism: Cygnus olor (mute swan)
Lineage: Eukaryota; Metazoa; Chordata; Aves; Anseriformes; Anatidae
Exons: 3
Source: RefSeq, a predicted model, not a curated record
GGGGCAGGGCAGCGGGGGUGCGCGGGGGCCAAUGAGGGGGGCCGCCUGUGAAAAGCGCCGAGCCGGUGCGCUGAGGGGGAAGAUGAGAGAGGACCUCAGUAUUGUUCAGUACAGUUUGUCAUGUGAGGCUGUAAAUCCCUUCAAGCAAGACGCUGUAAACACUGGCCUUCAGCAAGCCUUUGUGUCACACAUCACUUUAUGGAAGAAGAAAGCAGAAAAUCCCCACUGUUUCAAAAAUGGGUGAUAACUUUUAACUGUUUGUAUUUUUUGCAAGCAUCUGUCGAGGCACUGAGGUUUUAUUUCUACAACCAGCACUGCUCGAUCUGUGCUUUACCCUAUGGUAGAAGUCGGGGCUUUCAGGAAUAGUGAAACAGCAGCAAAGUUCUUUAAAACAGACUGGGAGUGCCUGGAGUUUGGUGUUCAGGCCACUAGAAAAGCUGUUCUUUGGUAGUUGUAAGUGCAAUAGAAUGAAAUUUGGGGCUGAAAGAGCAGGCGCUGUUAUUAUUCUGUACAAGCAGCGAUGCCUGUUUUGUUAGGCAGUUUCCCGUUUCGUAGCUGUAAAAUAAAUACGUAGAACCAUUUGUGCUCUUUAGGUGGAAUUUAGAGGUUGGGUCCAGCUUCUCUCCAAAACUCUCGCAGGACUUCUCCCCCAUUGUGGCGUGUGAAUAACAACCACCGAGCUCAACGCGAGGUUUUUGCAUCGUGGCUGAAAAGAGGCGCCCCUAUUUAUAGCAUUCAAACAUUGGCAGGUGCAAGACUGGUGAGAAACUUUAGUCUCACACAUCCAAAGUGGUUGUUGGGAAGAGUCUUCUGCGUGGUGGAAGCUGCUCCGAGCUGGGCCACGAGAAUCAGCAGCCCUGCUCGGUGGCUGUCUCCUCGUUCAGAUCAAUCAGCUUGUAUUUCCAGGAGGGGGUGUAACCAAGAAGGGCCUGAUGGUGCUGAUUGCAGUAAUAUACUUAGCUAUGGCAGCUUUAGCUAUUAUUUAUAGAAGCGCUAAUUAUAUCAAUAGAAAUAGCAAUAUUAAUACUGUUAAGUGUCAGAAUCCACUCUUGACAGCAUGAACUGAACGCAGCUACUGUGAAACAAGGCAGCCAGCUUGUCUCCCUUGUCAAACCACCAAUAUGCAUUUCAGGAAGAGUACACACCCACCUUAAUUGCUCGGGGUCUCACCGUUUUUGCUCAUCUUGUUUUAUCACUCUCAUUUCAAGAAGAAAACUCCCGAGACUGGCUGUUCCCAUGAAGCGCAGCCUGUAUCCUGAGUCGGUCCAGGACAUGCAAACUGUGACUAAAAUGUCGCAGUGGGUUCCGGUUCAAAGCUGUCAUUCUGCAAUGCUGGCAACCGGAAAGUGUCUCAAAGUUCAGAUUUGGACCCAAACUUUUUUUUUUGAGCCUGUGCUCCACCGCUUCUUGUUUACAAAAUAGUUGGUGAAAACUCACAUAGAUUUCAAUACCCACAGUUACGUGCAGACGACGUUAUAACCAGCCUUAAUUGGCAUCUUUUAAAGGGCAGAAAUCAUAUUACCAAAAAAUAAACAAAACUAAGAGAAAACAAGAGCAUAUUGAGACUCGUUUUCU